Molecule: non-coding RNA, 89 nt
Organism: Drosophila mojavensis
Lineage: Eukaryota; Metazoa; Arthropoda; Insecta; Diptera; Drosophilidae
Source: Rfam
GCAGCAUUGAUUAAUCUCAAUUUGUAAAUGUGAGCGAUUUUUAACUAUUUGACGCACUCACUUUGCAAUUGGAGAUUGCUCGAGACUGC